CGCGCUCUCGGGACCUCGGGCGCUGGCCUGUGGUCCGGGGCGGCGGCGCGGCGUCCUUGCCGCUCUUCUGGACAUUCUGACCUGGCUAGGAGUUGUACGCCCCCAGGACCUGGGAGUCAACCUUGGACCUGGGAAUCAACCUUGGAACCAUUCUCAUUGAAGAACUGCCUAUUAUGGAAAAAUUAACUUGUUGCCCAAACAAUGGAGUCCCACCCCAGCCUGCAUAGCCUACUUCCCCAUGCCUGUAAUCCCUACUUUCCCCAUGUAAUCUUUGUCUUACCCCAUAUAAGCAAUUGGUUUAUGGGGGGCUGCAGAGCAGAUUUUUGUGGAUGACCUGCUGCUCUCCCAUACUGCCGGCAGUAUUGGAAGAAACGCGCAUAUAUGAUUCAACCCUGUCUCUGCUUAAUUGGCUCAAGUAGUGACAGGCAACACGGACCCAUUGAUUGUCCCGUUAUAUUAUGAGCAUCAACUAAUUGAAUCUUGACGUUGUUUCCUGUUUUACAAAGAAGGAAACAGACUUAGAGCCAUGAAGCCAGUCACAAGGGCCCCAGAUCUGUCCCCAAAGCCUGUGCUUCUGGUUCCAGGGAUACACUGCUGCUGUCACACCAGCUACAGUUAUUGUUAAGUCCAGGUAUACCUGUGAGAUACUGUGGGUUUGGCUCUAGACCACCACAAUAAAGCAAAUAUCGAAAUAAAGCAAGUAGCAUGAAUUUUUUGGUUUCCCAGUACCUAUAAAAGUUAUAUUAAAAUUAUACUGUAGUCAUAAGUGUACAAUAAUAGCAUUGUGUCUAAGAAAUGUACAUACAUAAUUAAAACAAUAUUACUAAAAA
Long non-coding RNA from Myotis lucifugus (little brown bat), 830 nucleotides. RefSeq lists it as uncharacterized. The transcript is spliced from 2 exons. The record is from RefSeq and is a predicted model, not a curated record. Lineage: Eukaryota; Metazoa; Chordata; Mammalia; Chiroptera; Vespertilionidae.